This 177-nucleotide non-coding RNA is filed under the name Lapidilactobacillus dextrinicus. Its description in RNAcentral is "Lactobacillus dextrinicus Lysine sequence". It matches the Rfam family "Lysine riboswitch aptamer". Rfam says of the family: Riboswitches are metabolite binding domains within certain messenger RNAs that serve as precision sensors for their corresponding targets. Allosteric rearrangement of mRNA structure is mediated by ligand binding, and this results in modulation of gene expression. Lineage: Bacteria; Bacillati; Bacillota; Bacilli; Lactobacillales; Lactobacillaceae. RNAcentral also lists the same sequence under 1 other name. The record is from RNAcentral.
CAAUGCAAUAGAGGUCGCGAGAAUCACGAAGCUUAGUGAGUGUCCAAACACAUUGAACUAAGUCAUUCAGGAGGAUCGCCGAAGUAAUAUUAUUUUUGGAGAUAAUAUUAUUGGGGCAUAGAUUAAUAGUCUAUGAACUGUCUUAACGAUUUUUCGUUAAGGAGCGCUAUGAUUUUG